GUAGGUGGCAAGCGUUGUCCGGAAUUAUUGGGCGUAAAGCGCGCGCAGGCGGUCCUUUAAGUCUGAUGUGAAAGCCCACGGCUCAACCGUGGAGGGUCAUUGGAAACUGGGGGACUUGAGUACAGAAGAGGAAAGCGGAAUUCCAAGUGUAGCGGUGAAAUGCGUAGAGAUUUGGAGGAACACCAGUGGCGAAGGCGGCUUUCUGGUCUGUAACUGACGCUGAGGCGCGAAAGCGUGGGGAGCAAACAGGAUUAGAUACCCUGGUAGUCCACGCCGUAAACGAUGAGUGCUAAGUGUUAGGGGGGUUUCCCGCCCCCCUUAGUGCAGCAGCUAACGCAUUAAGCACUCCGCCUGGGGAGUACGGCCGCAAGGCUG
RNAcentral lists this ribosomal RNA (375 nucleotides) under uncultured organism. RNAcentral's name for it is "partial 16S ribosomal RNA". It matches the Rfam family "Bacterial small subunit ribosomal RNA", at positions 527 to 896 of the family's 1533-position model. The record is from RNAcentral.